AGCCGGUCAUAGCGUUGGGGUGCGACCCAGACCCUUUCCGAACCUGGAAGUCAAACCCAAUGUCGCUAUCGUGUUACUAAGAUGCGAGAGCUCUUGGGAAGUGAUAGUGCUGGCAUUUUAU
RNAcentral lists this ribosomal RNA (121 nucleotides) under uncultured marine thaumarchaeote KM3_173_E01. Lineage: Archaea; Thermoproteati; Nitrososphaerota. The record is from RNAcentral.